This 4185-nucleotide long non-coding RNA is filed under the name Setaria italica (foxtail millet). Its description in RNAcentral is "long non-coding RNA (SITA_LNC003851)". Lineage: Eukaryota; Viridiplantae; Streptophyta; Magnoliopsida; Poales; Poaceae. The record is from RNAcentral.
AAGAAGGAGGGGGUCUCCGCAGCGAAGCAGUCCAUAAAUUCCCCCGCCUCGUCACUCCUCCAGAACCAGAAGCCCACCCAACCUCCACCUCCUCCUUCCAAGAAGGUCCGUUCCCCUCCUCCCUUCUCCGUCCUUCCUCCUGCAGUAAUCCCCAUCCAUCCGUCACUCUUCUUUUUCCUCUCUUGCCCCCAUCGCUCAGUAGCACAGCGGCUGCGGCUGCAGCUGCCCUUUUCUUCACCCCCUUUGUGCUGCUGCAAAGCAGAUCCCUGCAUGGCUGCAUCCCUAUCCCCAUUUUAGAUCACCUUUGCGCAUGCUCCCUUGUGGUCUGUGCGCAAGGAGGCCAGAAAAUUGCUUCUUGUCCCUGUCCCUCUCCCUCUCUCUCUCGAACUGCAUCACGAGCAUACAGGGUAGUGCCUUAGUGGGGAUGGCUAACUGACGAUUUGUCGCUGAUCUUUGAUUGCAGGGCAUGGACGCCGUCGAGCGCUUGAAGAGCGGGUUUGACAAGUUCAAGACCGAUGUCUAUGAGUAAGUCACCAUCAACUGCCCCGCGUUCGAUUUCAGUUUCAUGGCGCUUGAUUUGCUUCGAGAAUUUUGGGACCUCCCACUGACGACCCUGCUUUGCCCCCCGUGGAAUUUCCUCCUCGCAGCAAGAAGCCGGAGCUGUUCGAGCCGCUCAAGGAGGGCCAGGCACCCAGGGUAUGUGCUUCCUUCUCCGCCCUAUCUCAUCACCCUUGUAGACUGCUAAGAUUUUUGUCUGGAGCGGCUCCGGCCGGCUGGAAUCCUCGUCAGAAAUCAUGGAAAGCUUAAUUUAGCCAAACCGCGUUCAGUAACUUGGGUUCCCGUGGGGUCCGGGCAACGCCUGGCUGGCUGGCCCACAGAUUUGGUGGUACCUAGUACGUCCUGGUUGCCCAGGCGUCCAGUUAGAAGCAAGCUCUGAACAGUGUCGCUGGUACUUGCUCACCAUCAGGAUCCCUGCAUUACAUUCUCGUUUGCAUCUCCCAGGCAACCCUGCUGCCAUCCGUUACUGUUUCAUUUGCCGAGGUCAGAGUCGUGGUAGACAAGCGGAAACGGCUUGUCCUAAUUGCAUGACUUAACACUGACGGGGACAGCUUGUCUCCAUUAGCGGCCAGUGGCCCGUGAUCAGGUUGGAGAAACUGAAACUGUUCUUGUUGGACGAGCCUGCUCCACGGGGCACAGCCUUUUCAACUGUGCAGAGAGAGAUUGUAGUGGAUAGCAACCACCCAGGCACUAAAACAUGCGCGCGGCGAGUGCAUCCCCAUGUGCAGGCCAUGUUGGUGAUUUGGGCGUUGGCCUUGUAAAUUAUUGAGAGAGAUGUCGCCGUCCCUGUAUAGGCUCACUUUCUGGACUGGUGGUGGGUGAUGAUGGAUAUAGUAUAGUCUUAUUUCCUUCUCGUUCCUAGUAUAAACCUGGUGCCAGAAUCUCGCAAGUACAGAGUUUUAUUGUUUUCUUUAUGGGGGUUCUUGGCUGGCAUCGAUCCCAUGCGCCUAAUUACUCCAUGCAUGCUGUAGUUAGCUGGUUCCAGGCCCAAGUAGUCUAGUAAUUUUAUUUGCCAAAAAAAGUGGUUGGCGUCUUACUCGGUCUGUGGGAAACUAAGAACUAGCAACUAGCCGUGUUGAAUUCAAAGUUCAGACUAGUUGAAUUUUGUCAAGGUCUCCUGCAUCGUUUUUUUUUUUGGGGUGGGGUGGAGUAUAGUGCUCUAGUCCAUCAUUACACUAUAUGGUGGUGGUGAGUAGGCAUUUCAGAUGUCUCAUCGUUUUGAAAGUUCUUUUUGACGCUGCACAAAUCAUACACUAAAAAGUGACGUGAGCUCCAAGUUUCCAUGGCUAUGAAUAGAAUGGAAAAUGCAAGGUGAGCCAUGCCCACAUAGAUAGGUGAUAGGUCCAGGAUCCCAUCAUUCCAUGGCUAAACGUGUGGUCCAGCCAUGAUUGAGCACAGGCCCUACCUGGCAGCUAGCAACCUGUCCUGUGGCUGUGGCGCACUGGUUCCUCACCUCAUAGAAUUCGCUCUUCAUCAGCAUGUAGAAGAGUAGUUGGUUUGAGCGUGUCCUCUAUUCCCAGCCAUUGCGAAAAGUUAGGGGCAUAAACAUUGGCCAGUGCAUGUUGCUUUAGCCUUCAGAACAUUUGUGUAUUCGCAUCCAUAUCUCACUGGCCAUGCUGAUCCUUGAAAUAUAUGCUAUACUAGACACGUCUCAAAGUGUAUAAAGAGCAGAAGAUGAUUGCAUCACGUCAUGCCCCUUGCCCCCUUUCCAAACCCUGGCCUCCCAAGUGUGAGCUAAUCCAAAUAGGAACGAGGUUCCUUUUCCUAAUCAUCCAUGGACAUGGUGUCCGUCCAUCCAUUGUGGCUGCUCUUGUCACCAAGCUCAAUCUGCAGUGUGGAUUUGGCAGUUUUGAUCCGGCCUUUUGCAUGCAAAUUGUUCUCGGUUCAUGCAUGCAGGCUCGCCUUUUGCGUGUCAACUUGCCCGGAAAUAUUCUUGCUUUACGCUUGCGGCUUCCUCGCCGGGAAUGGGAUCACGUUUUGUUUCUGGCCCGUUGAUCGCCCCGGGAGCCACAUGAAAGUCGGCGUAGAAUAUCCUCGUUUCGAGUAGUAGCAGGGAACCUUCCUGCUUGGCUUUUGUCCAUCCUGCCCCCCUGGUAAAAAGUGGCUCGGAACAGAGACAACCAGGAAAUUUUUCAAAAACAGAGACAGCCAGGUCAAAAGCGGUAGCCUUUUUCGAGCGCAGUGGUACCAGCAUGCAAAUCCAGCAGAGCCACCAGAAUCGUGUACUCCACCGAUCAGCGCCGAUCUGCCUACCUGCUUAUCGAUAAGAGCCGUGGGGGGCGUGAGAUGUCCAUUAGCGAUAAGGCUGAUUAAGCGUGCUCUUUUCGUUAACCUGAUGCUUGAUUUUUCUUCUCUUUUGUUAAUGAUGCUGAUUUCCCCCUUUUGUCAACGCUAUGCUGCAGUACAUGGUGUUUGCCUGCUCCGACUCCCGUUGCUGCCCGUCGGUGACCCUGGGCCUGCAGCCCGGCGAGGCCUUCACCGUCCGCAACAUCGCCGCCAUGGUCCCACCUUACGACAAGGUAAACACUGUCUGACUGACUGACGCAUGGACAUCUGUGUUUUUUCUUUGUUUGGCCGGCCAUGACCACUGGUGUGUCUUUGCCUGUCGACUGCUGCGUGCGCAGACCAAGUACACCGGCAUUGGGUCCGCCAUCGAGUACGCCGUCUGCGCCCUCAAGGUGGAGGUCCUCACCGUCAUCGGCCACAGCCGCUGCGGUGGCAUCAAGGCGCUCCUCUCCAUGAAGGACGGCGCACCUGACAACUUGUAAGUAACGGUGGAAUUAAGUUACAGCUUUGGAUCGAGGAACCUAUCCUGCAGCUUGGUGUUUCUGACUCGAGUACUAUCUCUUUAAUCAGCCACUUCGUCGAGGACUGGGUCAGGAUCGGCUUCCUCGCCAAGAAGAAGGUGCUGACCAACCAUGCCUCGGUUCCGUUCGAUGACCAGUGCACCCUCUUGGAGAAGGUAUGUUUGAGCUACUCAAUUACCAUGGCGAUCUUACUUUCCCAUACAGUAGCAGUGUUUGCAGUGCCAAUUGCAUCUACACGUGUGUACUGCCUAGUCUGCAUGAAUAUCGAAUUGGUUUGCUCAUGAAAGGAUCCUGCAUUUCUGAAUAUUUUUGCAGGAGGCCGUCAACGUGUCCCUCUACAACCUCCUGACCUACCCCUGGGUGAAGGAAGGUGUGGCCAACGGGACACUCAAGCUGGUCGGCGGCCACUACGACUUCGUCAACGGGGUGUUCUCCGUGUGGGAGAAAUAAGCCACCCGGUUUAUUCAUCAUACAUACAUACCGAAAUAAUGCAUCCAAUCGAUGUGAAUGCAUGAGUACUUACUACCUAUUUUCGGCCGCUACAUAUAUAUCAGAUCGGCCGAUGUGAAUGUAAUAAGAUAUAGCAUUUUCUACCGCUUUACGACUUCUAUGUACUAUAUGAUGCGUAAUUUGGCCGCCUUGUGGUCAAAAGACAUCAGCUAUGUAUAAGCCGUUUUACUACCAUGGCUAUGUAUAAUUUCAUAAUAUUUUCGUCAAGAGUUUACCUUUUACUACCCCUUCAUGUUGGCUUAUUUGUCUGUCCCCUUCCUGGUUGCUGAUGCAGUAUUUUUAUGUGAUAACAAGAAUAAUUUUGUAUGCA